This 456-nucleotide ribosomal RNA is filed under the name uncultured bacterium. RNAcentral describes it as "bacterial SSU rRNA". It matches the Rfam family "Bacterial small subunit ribosomal RNA", at positions 340 to 786 of the family's 1533-position model. The record is from RNAcentral.
UACGGAAGGCAGCAGUGGGGAAUAUUGCACAAUGGGCGAAAGCCUGAUGCAGCUAUGCCGCGUGUAUGAAGAAGGCCUUAGGGUUGUAAAGUACUUUCAUCGGGGAGGAAAAACAAAACUAAUAAUUUUAUUUCUUGACGUUACCCGAAAAAGAAGCACCGGCUAACUCCGUGCCAGCAGCCGCGGUAAUACGGAGGGUGCUAGCGUUAAUCAGAAUUACUGGGCGUAAAGAGCACGUAGGUGGUUUUUUUAAGUCAGAUGUGAAAUCCCUGGGCUUAACCUGGAACUGCAUUUUGAAACUGAAAUACUAGAGUAUCGUAGGGGGAGGUAGAAUUCUAGGUGUAGCGGUGAAAUGCGUAGAUAUCUGGAGGAAUACCUGUGGCGAAAGCGGCCUCCUAAACGAAUACUGACACUGAGGGUGCGAAAGCGUGGGGAGCGAAACAGGGAUUAGAUACC